ACACACGGUUGGAGGUUCUGCUUGGAGUCACACGGCACACAAGAUUGCUGUCAAGAAAGCCUGUCCAUAAAUAGUGGCUGUACACCCUCCUCACUUACAAUUCAGGGAAAAGAAGAGCGGGGAAGGAAAGGAGGAAAAACAACAACAACAAAAGCCACGACAGAGAACGGGAAAAGGCAGAGACUGAAAGCGAAGGACCGUCGGAGGAGGAGGGCGAGAGACAUUUAUGCAGUGUGUGAUUCUUUCUAAAACAACUCCCUGGAAGAGAGGACAUUUAAUUCAACAAUUUAUUGGCCACCUACUGUGCACCAGGCAGUGAACUUGGAACUGGGGCUACUGGGUUACAGCAGUGACCAAGACAGAGGUCCCUGUUCUUAAGGAGCAAGUGAGGGCAACAGAAAAGAGCAGGUAAACAAAUAAGAUAAUUUCAGAUAGUUGUGACUGCUAUAAAGAAAAUAAAGCUGGGCUGGGUGUGGUGGUUCACGCCUGUAAUCCCUGCACUUUGGGAUGCCAAGGCGGGAGAAUCGCUUGAGCCCAGGAGUUUCAGACCAGCCUGGGUAACAUAGAGAAAUCCCACCUCCACAAAAAUUCAAAAAUUAGCCGGGCAUGGUAGCAAGCACCUGUCAUCUCAGCUUCUGGGGAGGCUGAGGUGGGAAAACGCUUAAGCCAGAGAUUUUGAGGCUGUAGUGAGCUAUGAUGGUGCCACUGCACCCCAGACUGGGUGAUGGAAAGAAGGGAGGGAGGGGCUGGGCAAGGUGGCUCACAUCUGAAAUCCCAGCGCUUUGAGAGGCUGAGGUGGGCAGAUGCUUGAGCCUAGAAGUUCAAGACCAGCCUAGGCAACAUGGCAAAAGCCUGUCUCUACAAAAAAUACAAAACAGCCAGGUGUGAUGGCCUGUGCCUUUAGUCCUAGCUACUUGGGAGGCUGAGGCAGGAAGAUCGUUUGAGCCCGGGAAGUUGAGGCUGCAGUGAGCUGUGAUCGUACCACUGCACCCCAGCCUGUGGGACAGAGUGAGACCCUGUCUCAAACGACAAUGAAAAGAAAACAAGGUAAUGAGAGAGUGAGUGACUGGGACGGGGGAUGAUAGAGAUGGGGGAGAGUUUAGAUCUCAAGAUGACGAAGAACCAUCCAUGUAAAACAUUCCAGGCAGAGGAAACAGCAAGUGCAAGGGACUGGAGAUGGGAAGGAGACUGGGACGAGGUAUUGAGAGGGCAUGGAUAGGUGCCAAGACCAGAGAUGGGGGAGUGUACAUGAGGAAUACGAUGCGUUUAUGUUGAGCUGGAGCUGAAGGGCAAUACGGUAGUUGGUCCUCAGAAGCCAAGUUAUGGAGUUCCCUGGGUUGUGGGGAGCCAGGGACAGUUUUUUUAUUGCAGGAUGACAUGAUCAGAGGUACGCUUCAGCAAGAUUAAGGAGUUUCAUGUGUUGUAGUUGGAUUGGAGGAGGGAAAUUUGGGGGGAAAGAUCAGCUGGAAAUUUUCUUGUGUUUCAAAAACAUGUUCACAAAUUCUUUUUUUUUUUUUCUUUUUGAGAUGGAGUCUUGCUCUGUCACCCAGGCUGGAGUGCGGUGGCGCCAUCUCGGCUCACUGCAAGCUCCGCCUCCCGGGUUCACGCCAUUCUCCUGCCUCAGCCUCCCCAGUAGCUGGGACUACAGGCGCCUGCCACCACGCCCUGCUAAUUUUUGUUGUAUUUUUUUAGUAGAGACAGGGUUUCACCGUUUUAGCCAGGAUGGUCUCAAUCUCCUGACCUCAUGAUCCGCCCCCCUCAGCCUCCCAAAGUGCUGGGAUUACAGGCAUGAGCCACUGCGCCCGGCCCUUCACAAAUUCUUUAAUGUUCCUUCCUUCAAAAGGAAGAGCCUAAUUCCUCCUCCCCUUCCCAGUUAAGUGUGAACUUGCCUCUAACUAAUAGAAUAUGGCAGAAGUGAUGGUUUGUGAUAUCUAAGAUUGGACAUAGAAAGCUCUAUGUUUUCCUCCUGGCUGUCUUAUUUUGUAUCAUUUAUUCUGGGAGAAGUCAGCUGUCAUGCGAGGGCACUCAAGCAGCCCUGUGGAAAGCUCUACGUGGUGAGAAACUGAAGCCUCCUGCCAACACCAACAAGGAACUGAGACCUACUUCCAACAGCCAUCUGAGUGAUCGAUCCAUCCUGGAAUCAGAUCCUCCAGCCCCAGUCAAGUCUUCAGAUGACUGCAGCCCUGACCAGCAUCUCAACUGCAACCUCGUGAAUGACCCUGAGCCAGAACCAUGCAACUAAACUCUGCGUGGAUUCAUGACCCACAGAAACUGUGAGAUGGUAGCUGUUUGCUUUGUUAAGCCUCUAAGUCUGGAAAGAAUGUCUUAAGCAGUAGCAGACAAUGAACACAAGAUUAUUAUUCAGCUGUUGAAUUGGAAGAGGAGGGGAAGAAAAAAUUUUCAGAUCACAAAAUAUUCAU
RNAcentral lists this long non-coding RNA (2420 nucleotides) under Homo sapiens (human). RNAcentral describes it as "NRSN2 antisense RNA 1". Lineage: Eukaryota; Metazoa; Chordata; Mammalia; Primates; Hominidae. The record is from RNAcentral.